Molecule: ribosomal RNA, 254 nt
Filed under: uncultured bacterium
Lineage: Bacteria
Description: partial 16S ribosomal RNA
Rfam family: Bacterial small subunit ribosomal RNA
Source: RNAcentral
UACGUAGGGUGCGAGCGUUGUCCGGAAUUACUGGGCGUAAAGAGCUCGUAGGUGGUUUGUCGCGUUUGUCCGUGAAAACUCACAGCUCAACUGUGGGCGUGCGGGCGAUACGGGCAGACUGGAGUACUGCAGGGGAGACUGGAAUUCCUGGUGUAGCGGUGGAAUGCGCAGAUAUCAGGAGGAACACCGGUGGCGAAGGCGGGUCUCUGGGCAGUAACUGACGCUGAGGAGCGAAAGCGUGGGGAGCGAACAGG